RNAcentral lists this ribosomal RNA (424 nucleotides) under Verrucomicrobiota bacterium. Its description in RNAcentral is "Verrucomicrobia bacterium partial 16S ribosomal RNA". It matches the Rfam family "Bacterial small subunit ribosomal RNA", at positions 355 to 776 of the family's 1533-position model. Lineage: Bacteria; Pseudomonadati; Verrucomicrobiota. The record is from RNAcentral.
UGAGGAAUAUUGGUCAAUGGACGAGAGUCUGAACCAGCCAAGCAGCGUGCAGGAUGACGGCCCUAUGGGUUGUAAACCGCUUUUGUUUGGGAAUAAUCGACAUUACGUGUAAUGUUUUGCAUGUACCAUUCGAAUAAGGACCGGCUAAUUCCGUGCCAGCAGCCGCGGUAAUACGGAAGGCCCAGGCGUUAUCCGGAUUUAUUGGGUUUAAAGGGAGUGUAUGCGGUUGGUUAAGCGUGUUGUGAAAUGUGGAUGCUCAACAUCUGACUUGCAGCGCGAGCGGGGUGACUUGAGGACACGCAACGGAGGGGGAAUUCAUGGUGUAGCGGUGAAAUGCUUAGAUAUAAUGAAGAACUACGAUUGCGAAGGCAGCUUACGGGAGUGUUACGGACGCUUGAGCUCGAAGGUGCGGGGAUCGAACAGG